RNAcentral lists this ribosomal RNA (270 nucleotides) under uncultured archaeon. Its description in RNAcentral is "partial 16S ribosomal RNA". It matches the Rfam family "Archaeal small subunit ribosomal RNA", at positions 477 to 747 of the family's 1478-position model. The record is from RNAcentral.
CUGCAGCCCGAGUAGUGAUCGUUAUUAUUGGGCCUAAAACGUCCGUAGCCUGUUUGGUAAAUGCUUGGGUAAAUCGUGUGGCUUAACCAUACGAAUACCGGGUAGACUGCCAGACUUGAGACCGGGAGAGGUUGGAGGUACUCCUGGGGUAGAGGUGAAACUCUGUAAUCCUGGGGGGACCACCAGUGGCGAAGGCGUCCAACCAGAACGGGUCUGACGGUGAGGGACGAAGCCCUGGGGCGCAAACCGGAUUAGAUACCCGCGUAGUCC